Molecule: ribosomal RNA, 415 nt
Filed under: uncultured bacterium
Lineage: Bacteria
Description: bacterial SSU rRNA
Rfam family: Bacterial small subunit ribosomal RNA
Source: RNAcentral
GAUGAACGCUGGCGGCGUGCUUAACACAUGCAAGUCGAACGGAGUUUACAUGUGAGCGGAGGGUGCUUGCAUCUAACAAUCUUUUGUAAACUUAGUGGCGGACGGGUGAGUAACGCGUGGGUAACCUGCCGUAUACAGGGGGACAACAGUUGGAAACGACUGCUAAUACCGCAUAAGCGCACAGGACCGCAUGGUCUGGUGUGAAAAACUCCGGUGGUAUACGAUGGACCCGCGUCUGAUUAGCUAGUUGGUGAGGUAACGGCCCACCAAGGCGACGAUCAGUAGCCGGCCUGAGAGGGUGAACGGCCACAUUGGGACUGAGACACGGCCCAAACUCCUACGGGAGGCAGCAGUGGGGAAUAUUGGACAAUGGGGGAAACCCGUAGGAUCCAGCGACGCCGCCGUGAGUGAAGAA